Non-coding RNA from Patiria miniata (bat star), 73 nucleotides. NCBI's taxonomy places the organism in Eukaryota, Metazoa, Echinodermata, Asteroidea, Valvatida, Asterinidae. The record is from Rfam.
CGUCUUUUAGAAUGAAAGUUUCGCCAAUCGGCUUCCCUACGACAGAUCGGUGGGACUUUCGUUCGAUUAGAUG